RNAcentral lists this long non-coding RNA (455 nucleotides) under Panax ginseng (ginseng). RNAcentral's name for it is "long non-coding RNA (PGIN_LNC011580)". The record is from RNAcentral. Lineage: Eukaryota; Viridiplantae; Streptophyta; Magnoliopsida; Apiales; Araliaceae.
UUGUAACGAGUUUAAUUCAAUUGUUUUGCAUAGAGAUAUAGCAAAAUUAAUCUGGGUUAAAUAGAAGGCAAUUGAUCACUCGAGAGAGGGCUUUUGGCAUUUGAGAAUUCCUGUUAACAAUUCAGUAGACAUAAUAAUUGGAAUAGUUGAAUAAUUGAUUUAUAAUUCAUAAUUGGGGAUAUUGGAGUCUUAAUCCUUAUUUAUCUGAAUUCAUUCAAAUUUUAGUUGUUUAUUUGCUUUCUUUUAGAAUAAUCUCUUUUAAUUGUUUUAAUUUAGUUUUCUUAAUUAGAAAAAUCACAAUUUGCGAUUGUUUAAAUAAAAUUGAUUUGGUUAAGAGUUAGUACUUGGUAAUUUUUAUUAAAUAAUUCCUCGUGGGAACGAUACUCUACUUUCACUUUAUUACUUGUUGACCGUGUAUACUUGCACGUAUUCAUUGAUUGCGAAAUCAAUCAACA